RNAcentral lists this ribosomal RNA (306 nucleotides) under uncultured bacterium. RNAcentral describes it as "bacterial SSU rRNA". It matches the Rfam family "Bacterial small subunit ribosomal RNA", at positions 28 to 332 of the family's 1533-position model. The record is from RNAcentral.
GAUUAACGCUGGCGGGCGUGCAUGAGACAUGCAAGUCGAACGGGGCGACUCGGGCUUGCUCGAGUCGCUAGUGGCGGACGGCUGAGUAACGCGUAGGUGACUUGCCCUGAAGUGGGGAAUAACUGCCCGAAAGGGUGGCUAAUACCGCAUGUGGUGGUGCGUUCAUUCGCACCAGUAAAGCCGCAAGGCGCUUCAGGAGAGGCCUGCGUCCGAUUAGCUUCGNGGUGGGGGUAACGGCUCACCAAGGCGACGAUCGGUAGGUGGUCUGAGAGGACGAUCACCCAGACUGGGACUGAGACACGGCCC